CAUAUAUAUAUAUGUAUAUAUAUAUAGACAUGUAUAUAUGUAAGUAUAUAUGUGUACAUGUAUAUAAUCAUGUAUAUUUGUGUAUAUGUAUGUAUAUACGUGUGUAUAUGUAUGUAUAUAUAUGUGUGUGUGUGUAUGUAUAUAUAUAUGUAUACAUAUAUGUGUAUACCUGUGUAUAUGUAUGUAUAUAUAUAUGUAUGUGUAUAUGUAUGUAUAUAUAUAUAUAUAUAUUAUAUGUUUUUGUAUAUGUAUUAUAUCCAUCCAUCCAUCCAUCCAUUUCCUACCGCUUAUUCCCUUUCGGGGUCGCGGGGGGCGAAAGGCGGGGUACACCCUGGACAAGUCGCCACCUCAUCGCAGGGCCAACACAGAUAGACAACAUUCACACUCACAUUCACACACUAGGGCCAAUUUAGUGUUGCCAAUCAACCUAUCCCCAGGUGCAUGUCUUUGAAAGUGGGGGGAAGCCGGAGUACCCGGAGGGAACCCACGCAUUCACGGGGAGAACAUGCAAACUCCACACAGAAAGAUCCCGAUCCUGGAUUUGAACCCAGGACUGCAGGAUCUUCGUAUUGUGAGGCAGACGCACUAACCCCUCUGCCACCGUGAAGCCCUGUGAAUAUGUAUUAUAUCUCUAUAUUAUUAUAUAUUCAUAUAUGUAUGUAUAUCCAUAUUAUUAACAUGUAUGUGUAUAUGUAUAUCUAUAGUAUCACUGUUUAUAUAAAAUAUAAAUGAGCACAAAUGAGUCCUGCUUUCCCUUUUAUUCAAAAAGUAGAGCUGUAAAAAUAAUAUAUUUUUGUCUGCUGCAUCAAAAUUAAUGUCAUGAAUUAUAUCCAAUUUAAGACUGUCUAUGCCCAACCACAAAUAUUCCACUAUGCAUUCUAUCUUUCAAAAUAUUGCAUAUUUUGCAUUUUCCCAUGAUAAAAUAAAACAGUUGGUAUUUUUCAAUCAAUCAAUCAAUCAAUCAAUGUUUAUUUAUAUAGCCCCAAAUCACAAAUGUCUCAGAGGACUGCACAAAUCAUUACGACUACAACAUCCUCGGAAGAACCCACAAAAGGGCAUAAAAUGGUCAUAAAACAUAAAAAAAACACAAGAAAUUAUUAAAAACGGUAUAUUAGUAGAUAGAUCUGAAGUUGUUCGAAUAUUUCAAGCGUUGAAAGUAGAUAUUAAAUGUAUUGGUGACUUGUGACACUUUUGUGAGCUCUUUUGGUCCUAAGAAAAGUGUAUAUAGUUUAUCUUAAUCUUGCACAAUGUUUAAGCAGGAAAGGGAGAGGUGCAGGGUUAUGGACACACACACACACACACACACACACACACGAAACCCUUUGCACUGCAGGAACUUUUGCCUGUUUCAACCUGCAGGAAAUUACUUUCCUGGUCAAGACUGAGUUCUGUCUGAAACAGACAGCUAUUGAGGCUGAAUGAGGAGCUGGACAGACCCUCUGAGUCCCAUCAUGUUUCCAUGGGGGCUCAUGCUCUGCGUUACAAUGAACCACAGCUCCCCCGUGGGGGCAGCAUUCGUGCAUCCCCCAGACAUUGACUGUACCAAGACACAGUGAACCUGCUCCUCACUUGUGCUGACACAUUUUCAAUGGAUACUAAAGGCCUACUGAAAUGAGAUUUUCUUAUUUAAACGGGGAUAGCAGGUCCAUUCUAUGUGUCAUACUUGAUCAUUUCGCAAUAUUGCCAUAUUUUUGCUGAAACGACUUAGUAGAGAACAUUGACGAUAAAGUUCGCAACUUUUGGUCGCUAAUAAAAAAGCCUUGCCUGUAGCGGAAGUAGCAGACGA
This is a long non-coding RNA of Nerophis ophidion (straightnose pipefish), 1786 nucleotides long. RefSeq lists it as uncharacterized. The record is from RefSeq and is a predicted model, not a curated record. The transcript has 2 exons. Lineage: Eukaryota; Metazoa; Chordata; Actinopteri; Syngnathiformes; Syngnathidae.